Molecule: ribosomal RNA, 460 nt
Filed under: uncultured bacterium
Lineage: Bacteria
Description: partial 16S ribosomal RNA
Rfam family: Bacterial small subunit ribosomal RNA
Source: RNAcentral
CCUACGGGAGGCCGCAGUGAGGAAUAUUGGUCAAUGGACGGAAGUCUGCACCAGCCAUGCCGCGUGCAGGAAGACGGCUCUAUGAGUUGUAAACCGCUUUUGUACACGGGUAAACCUGAAUACGUGUAUUCAGCUGACAGUACUGUACGAAUAAGGAUCGGCUAACUCCGUUCCAGCAGCCGCGGUAAUACGGAGGAUCCAAGCGUUAUCCGGAUUUAUUUGGUUUAAAGGGUGCGUCGGCGGGUUUAUACGUUAGCGGUGAAAGGUCCGAGCUUAACUCGGGAACUGCCUCUCAUACUGUUAAUCGAGAGAGUAGGUGCGGUAGGCGGAAGGUAUGGUGUAGCGGUGAAAUGCUUAGAGAGCAUACAGAACACCGAUUGCGAAGGCAGCUUACCGAGCUAUAUCUGACGUUGAUGCACGAAAGCGUGGGGAGCAAACAGGAUUAGAUAGCCUUGUAGUC